RNAcentral lists this ribosomal RNA (252 nucleotides) under uncultured bacterium. RNAcentral's name for it is "partial 16S ribosomal RNA". It matches the Rfam family "Bacterial small subunit ribosomal RNA", at positions 524 to 776 of the family's 1533-position model. The record is from RNAcentral.
UACGUAGGUCCCGAGCGUUGUCCGGAUUUAUUGGACGUAAAGCGAGCGCAGGUGGUUUAUUAAGUCUGGUGUAAAAGGCAGUGGCUCAACCAUUGUAUGCAUUGGAAACUGGUAGACUUGAGUGCAGGAGAGGAGAGUGGAAUUCCAUGUGUAGCGGUGAAAUGCGUAGAUAUAUGGAGGAACACCGGUGGCGAAAGCGGCUCUCUGGCCUGUAACUGACACUGAGGCUCGAAAGCGUGGGGAGUAAACAGG